This 465-nucleotide ribosomal RNA is filed under the name uncultured bacterium. RNAcentral describes it as "partial 16S ribosomal RNA". It matches the Rfam family "Bacterial small subunit ribosomal RNA", at positions 28 to 507 of the family's 1533-position model. The record is from RNAcentral.
GACGAACGCUGGCGGUGUGCUUAACACAUGCAAGUCGAACGGUAAGGCCCUUUCGGGGGUACACGAGUGGCGAACGGGUGAGUAACACGUGAGUAACCUGCCCUCAUCUCUGGGAUAACAGUCGGAAACGGUUGCUAAUACUGGAUAUGAGCCUGCAAGGCAUCUUGUGGGUUGGAAAGAUUUUUUGGUUGGGGAUGGACUCGCGGCCUAUCAGCUUGUUGGUGAGGUAGUGGCUCACCAAGGCUUCGACGGGUAGCCGGCCUGAGAGGGCGACCGGCCACAUUGGGACUGAGAUACGGCCCAAACUCCUACGGGAGGCAGCAGUGGGGAAUAUUGCACAAUGGACGGAAGGCUGAUGCAGCAACGCCGCGUGCGGGAUGACGGCCUUCGGGUUGUAAACCGCUUUCAAUUGUGACGAAGCUUUUUGUGACGGUAGCAGUAGAAGAAGCACCGGCUAACUACGUG